Molecule: long non-coding RNA, 198 nt
Organism: Triticum dicoccoides
Lineage: Eukaryota; Viridiplantae; Streptophyta; Magnoliopsida; Poales; Poaceae
Exons: 3
Source: RefSeq, a predicted model, not a curated record
CUCGCGUCCUCUACCGGUCACCCGCGACCGUCCCCUAAGCUAGGGUUUCGGCCACCGCGUCGCCGGCGUGGCUCCGGCGGCUCAGAUCGAGCACGCCAAUGUCGCCGUCGUUUCGCUUGCGCUGGAACAGCAAAGGGAAGGCCAUGGACGACGCCGCUCCAGCCCUUCUCCGACGCCAUCAAGCAGUAGCAGCAACUC